RNAcentral lists this long non-coding RNA (713 nucleotides) under Theobroma cacao (cacao). Its description in RNAcentral is "long non-coding RNA (TCAC_LNC002707)". The record is from RNAcentral. Lineage: Eukaryota; Viridiplantae; Streptophyta; Magnoliopsida; Malvales; Malvaceae.
GGGUUGAUAAAUUAAGAUCAUCAAGGAGUAUAUAUACUUUAAUCUAAAAAAUUGCAGAUAAUCACAAUUAAUUAUCAACAUUUGCAAUAAUCAGCAGUAAGUAUAUAUAUAUAUAUAUAUAUAUAUAUAUGUAGCUGUAUAUGCAAUGGAUGGUAACAAAUUUUUCUUCAUUAAAAGUGUAACUUACAUUGAACAUUAUUCAAAUUUUGGGUUAAUUCCUACAAAGCAUAUAUAUCUGGAAACAUUUGGGUUUUCCUUCUUAGAGCUCUGAUCUCUGCUGAGGAAGGAAGCUUUCAUUCUCUAACAUUUGACACAUCGAGAUCACUUACUAAACCCAUUUUGUUUGAAAUGAGAGGCACUGGGAAGCAGCAGUCUUGUGGCAACCAUGAAACUCCUUUGUUGCUCCAUUGAGACUCCAACACUACCAGGAACAGAUAGAUGAAAGCAAGAAGAGAGAUUGCAAAAGAGAGAUACAUCUCUCCUUUGAAAGAAGUAAUAGCUGGAACUGAUGAAACAUUCAUUGUUUCUUUGAGAGAGUUGGAUGUAUCAAAGAUGAGAUGAGAAGAGAAGAGGGUGUGGUGGAGUUUUUAAAUAGGGAAAAGAUGGUAUGCAUAAAUCAAAUUCAAUGAAUGAUUAGUUAAGAGAGAAUGUGAGAGGAGCAGAAAAAAUCUCCGACAGAGAGGCUUGAAAGGUAUGGGUAAUGGGGAGGAGGG